RNAcentral lists this ribosomal RNA (253 nucleotides) under uncultured bacterium. RNAcentral's name for it is "partial 16S ribosomal RNA". It matches the Rfam family "Bacterial small subunit ribosomal RNA", at positions 524 to 776 of the family's 1533-position model. The record is from RNAcentral.
UACGUAGGGUGCGAGCGUUGUCCGGAAUUAUUGGGCGUAAAGGGCUCGUAGGCGGUCUGUCGCGUCGGGAGUGAAAACUCAGGGCUUAACCCUGAGCCUGCUUCCGAUACGGGCAGACUAGAGGUAUGCAGGGGAGAACGGAAUUCCUGGUGUAGCGGUGAAAUGCGCAGAUAUCAGGGGGAACACCGGUGGCGAAGGCGGUUCUCUGGGCAUUACCUGACGCUGAGGAGCGAAAGUGUGGGGAGCGAACAGG